RNAcentral lists this ribosomal RNA (460 nucleotides) under uncultured bacterium. RNAcentral describes it as "partial 16S ribosomal RNA". It matches the Rfam family "Bacterial small subunit ribosomal RNA", at positions 338 to 795 of the family's 1533-position model. The record is from RNAcentral.
CCUACGGGUGGCUGCAGUGAGGAAUAUUGGUCAAUGGACGCGAGUCUGAACCAGCCAUGUCGCGUGAAGGAUGACGGCCCUAUGAGUUGUAAACUGCUUUUAUAAAAGGAUAAACCGAGGCACGUGUACCUUUUUGCAUGUACUUUAUGAAUAAGGAUCGGCUAACUCCGUGCCAGCAGCCGCGGUAAUACGGAGGAUCCGAGCGUUAUCCGGAUUUAUUGGGUUUAAAGGGAGCGUAGGUGGGUUGUUAAGUCAGUUGUGAAAGUUUGCGGCUCAACCGUAAAAUUGCAAUUGAUACUGGCAGGCUAGAGUACAGUUGAGGUAAGCGGAAUGCGUGGUGUAGCGGUGAAAUGCUUAGAGAUCACGAAGAACCCCGAUUGCGAAGGCAGCUUACUAAGCUGUGACUGACAUUGAGGCUCGAAAGUGUGGGGAGCAAACAGGAUUAGAUACCCUAGUAGUC